Molecule: ribosomal RNA, 303 nt
Filed under: uncultured bacterium
Lineage: Bacteria
Description: partial 16S ribosomal RNA
Rfam family: Bacterial small subunit ribosomal RNA
Source: RNAcentral
AGCAGCAGCCACGGGAAUACGUAGGUGGCAAGCGUUGUCCGGAAUUAUUGGGCGUAAAGGGCUCGCAGGCGGUUUCUUAAGUCUGAUGUGGAAGCCCCCGGCUCAACCGGGGAGGGUCAUUGGAAACUGGGAAACUUGAGUGCAGAAGAGGAGAGUGGAAUUCCACGUGUAGCGGUGAAAUGCGUAGAGAUGUGGAGGAACACCAGUGGCGAAGGCGACUCUCUGGUCUGUAACUGACGCUGAGGAGCGAAAGCGUGGGGAGCGAACAGGAUUAGAUACCCCAGUAGUCCCUGUCUCUUAUAC